AUAAUACCUAAAAAGGAAAAGACCAUGUUGUAGAACUACGUUCGCAUUACUCCAACCGGGAGUUUAGUACGACAACAAGAGUCAUAAGGACAAACAUAAGAAAUCAGUCAUUUAAACUGAACAAAUAAACGUAAAUACUACUGGAUACUCCACUGAUCAAAAACUUCUACCUGCUUCUAGAUACUCUGUAAUAAAAAUAAAAGUUAAUGAAUGGACUGCAACGAAUCCAGAAGAGAUAAUCCAAUAUAAGACACAAAAACACACAAAACAAGACAAGACACAGAAAAAGUGAAUAUCAUUUAUACAGUUAUUAUAAUUCCCAAAUAGGAAAGAUCAGUGUAACUUACCACAGUCAGUAUUUUUGAACUUUGAAAAAUAGCACUUUACUUCUUUAUCAUUGAAAGGCUAGGUUAAACGUUUAAAAAAACUGUUAAAAGUUAGUAAAAGCGGUCCCUGUCAUCCAAGGCACCUCAUCUGAACUGCGUCUCUACAUCCGCAUCAGUGCUACUGUGAAACUAGAUUUAUGGACAGUAACUCUGAUGUAAGAAUUAGCGCGAUUGUUUUAAAGUUCUGCAUCGACUCCGACAGGAGCUGAAGGCAUCCAUCCUCACACAGGCCAGCAGCAUCACAUCCAGGUAACUGAACGACUAUAUAAAGUAACGAGCACAAUCCACCUCAGACUUCUGAUGUUACCACGGUAACCACAACUAUUUUGUGAAAUCAUCAGAGCUCAGCCACAUAAAUAUCGGAUGUUAAUGCCGUUUCAUGGCCCACAUGCACACAGGAGAAAGAAAAGGUGGAAUUUUAUGUUUUAUGUUGAUGUAAAUUUAGGACCAAAAUGUAAGUGACUUUAAUAUGAGCAGGGAGGUGGUUAACAAAAUCUGAAAUAAUCACAAAUCUUUCAGUUUUCUUUUAAAUUCAAUGAAAAUUACUAUUUUGAUUCAACUACUUUCUUAGAGUAUGUUGCAGCUAAAAUAUUAAAUCACUGGGCUAGGAACCAGAAGCUUGGAUCAAUUCAUUGUGCAAGCUUAGUCGGAUGUAAAUUUAAAAAUGAAUCAGUUUUAACAAUCCAACCUUUACCACAGAAGACAUUAUCUAGCUAGCUAUCUAAUUUAAAUUAGUCUUCCUUUAAGUCAGUGCCUGCCUUUUAACACAAUGGGUGCUGAACAAAUAACUUCAGACUGGACUGAGUGGUGUUAUAUGACAUUUUAAAACAGUAAGUACACCGCUUCUUAAUAUAUUGACUAAAAGUUAAAAUUCUAAACCAGCCUUUUAACUCAAUGUUAAUAAUAGAAAAACAUUUUACACACACACACGUUUCUGUUAACUGAUUUUUAUACAUCAUUUCUUGCUGCUGAAGAACUGUAUUAUCAGAACUUCUGGACUGAUGACACUGACAGAUUAAAAGUUUUAUUAUAAACGGCUCUCAAAUAAUUAGAAUAAGUUUUGAAAACUAUUUUAGGGCUGCGUUCAAGCUGUUAAUAGAUAAUUGCCCCCCCAAAUCUGCACUGAGCAAAUUUUAAGUCUGGAGAUCAGUAUGUUUAAGAUUUCUGGCUCCAUAAAGAUAGAAAUUCAAUGGUUUAGCCCUGAGAUACCACGACUGAAUAUAGCCCAUGAACUCCACAGCAGAAUUUGUUCUUUAGUAUUUAAUAGGGUAACAUUUCUCAUUUUUCCAGAGGAAUAUCUUGAUAGUAAACCUGACAACUUGCAUUUUGUCACAUAUAUACAUGUAACUGGUUGUACAGACUUGUGCUAUCUACAUCAUUUUUCCUUUUUCCCCAAUUUCUGUGUUUACACACAAGUACUAAGGGACAGUUCUUCCCUUCUACUGCUUCUGAAGCUAUUUUUCUUAUGAUAACAUUUCUUUUAUACAAAUUCACAUAAGUACUUGAACAAAUGUAAGAAAAACUCAACAUGAGGCAAUUAAAUUUUUUAGGAACAAAAGAGCUCAUACCU
This is a long non-coding RNA of Alligator mississippiensis (American alligator), 1956 nucleotides long. RefSeq lists it as uncharacterized. The record is from RefSeq and is a predicted model, not a curated record. Lineage: Eukaryota; Metazoa; Chordata; Crocodylia; Alligatoridae. The transcript has 4 exons.